GCCGGAGUGGCGGAAUGGCAGACGCGCUGGAUUCAAAAUCCAGUAGCCGCAAGGCUGUGUGGGUUCAAGUCCCACCUCCGGUA
Molecule: transfer RNA, 83 nt
Filed under: Planctomycetaceae bacterium
Lineage: Bacteria; Pseudomonadati; Planctomycetota; Planctomycetia; Planctomycetales; Planctomycetaceae
Also listed under: 4 other names
Description: tRNA-Leu
Rfam family: tRNA
About the family: Transfer RNA (tRNA) molecules are approximately 80 nucleotides in length. Their secondary structure includes four short double-helical elements and three loops (D, anti-codon, and T loops).
Source: RNAcentral